UACGAAGGGGGCUAGCGUUGUUCGGAGUUACUGGGCGUAAAGGGCGCGUAGGCGGCUCAUCAAGUCGGGCGUGAAAUCCCUGGGCUCAACCCGGGAAUGGCGCUCGAGACUGAAGGGCUUGAGUGCGGGAGAGGAUGGUGGAAUUCCCAGUGUAGAGGUGAAAUUCGUAGAUAUUGGGAAGAACACCGGUGGCGAAGGCGGCCAUCUGGUCCGCAACUGACGCUGAGGCGCGAAAGCGUGGGGAGCAAACAGG
RNAcentral lists this ribosomal RNA (253 nucleotides) under uncultured bacterium. Its description in RNAcentral is "partial 16S ribosomal RNA". It matches the Rfam family "Bacterial small subunit ribosomal RNA", at positions 524 to 776 of the family's 1533-position model. The record is from RNAcentral.